GGACUACAGGGGUAUCUAAUCCUGUUCGCUCCCCACGCUUUCGCGCCUCAGCGUCAGUGCCGGCCCAGACCACCGCCUUCGCCACCGGUGUUCUUCCUGAUAUCUGCGCAUUUCACCGCUACACCAGGAGUUCCAUGGUCCCCUACCGGACUCUAGCCAUGGCAGUAUCGGGUGGCAUCUCCAGGUUGAGCCUGGAGGUUUCACACCCGACUUGCCAAGCCGCCUACGCGCUCUUUACGCCCAAUGAAUCCGGACAACGCUCGCUCCCUACGUAUUACCGCGGCGGCUGGCAC
RNAcentral lists this ribosomal RNA (293 nucleotides) under uncultured bacterium. RNAcentral describes it as "partial 16S ribosomal RNA". The record is from RNAcentral.